GACCCAGUGGUAUAAUGGUUAACACACCAGCUCUUACUAGCGAGGAUCCACAUUGAGUAUGCUGGAGCUUCCCGUUUGACUCAGGGCUGGGUCA
This is a non-coding RNA of Mycena rebaudengoi, 94 nucleotides long. The record is from the annotation of a GenBank genome assembly. Lineage: Eukaryota; Fungi; Basidiomycota; Agaricomycetes; Agaricales; Mycenaceae.